Molecule: ribosomal RNA, 497 nt
Filed under: uncultured bacterium
Lineage: Bacteria
Description: partial 16S ribosomal RNA
Rfam family: Bacterial small subunit ribosomal RNA
Source: RNAcentral
GAUGAACGCUGGCGGCGUGCCUAAUACAUGCAAGUCGAGCGAACAGACGAUGAGCUUGCUCCUUCGACGUUAGCGGCGGACGGGUGAGUAACACGUAGGUAACCUACCUAUAAGACGGGGAUAACUUCGUGAAACCGGAGCUAAUACCGGAUAAUAUUUCGAACCGCAGGGUUCGAUAGUGAAAGAUGGCUUUGCUAUCACUUAUAGAUGGACCUGCGCCGUAUUAGCUAGUUGGUAAGGUAACGGCUUACCAAGGCAACGAUGCGUAGCCGACCUGAGAGGGUGAUCGGCCACACUGGAACUGAGACACGGUCCAGACUCCUACGGGAGGCAGCAGUAGGGAAUAUUCCGCAAUGGGCGCAAGCCUGACGGAGCAACGCCGCGUGAGUGAUGAAGGCCUUCGGAUCGUAAAACUCUGUUAUUAGGGAAGAACAACAGUGUAAGUAACUGUGCACGUCUUGACGGUACCUAAUCAGAAAGCCACGGCUAACUACGUG